ACCCGGCUGGCUCAGUCGGUGGAGUGCGUGACUCUUGAUCUCGGGGCUGUGGAUUGAAGCCCCACAUUGGGUG
This 73-nucleotide transfer RNA is filed under the name Ailuropoda melanoleuca (giant panda). It matches the Rfam family "tRNA". Rfam says of the family: Transfer RNA (tRNA) molecules are approximately 80 nucleotides in length. Lineage: Eukaryota; Metazoa; Chordata; Mammalia; Carnivora; Ursidae. The record is from Rfam by way of RNAcentral.